Molecule: long non-coding RNA, 2717 nt
Filed under: Homo sapiens (human)
Lineage: Eukaryota; Metazoa; Chordata; Mammalia; Primates; Hominidae
Description: HSALNT0148239
Source: RNAcentral
CCACCUAGGCCCCACCUCUAACGUUAGGGAGUAUAAUUCCACACGGGUUUUGAUAGGGAUAUAGAGACAAACCAUAUUAUUCUGUCCCUGACCCCACGAAUCUCUUGUCCUUUUCACAUUGCAAAAUACAAUCAUGCCUUCCCAGCAUGAGUCUUAACUCAUUUCAGCAUUAACACAAUGUUACAAAGUCCAAAGUCUCAUCUGAGUCAAGGCUGCAGCCUCUUUUGCCUAUAAGCCUCUGAAAUAAAAUGCAAGAUCACUGCUUCUAAGGUACAGGGGUGGUACAGGCAUUGUGUAAGCUUUCCAUAUCCAAAAGGAAGACAUUUUCCAGAAAGCUUCUUAUUUCUAUCUGAGACCUCCUCAGCCUAGCCUUCACUGUCCAUGUUUCUGUCAGGAUUUUGGUCACAACCAUUUAACCAGUCUCUAAGAUGGUCCAAACUUUCUCAUCUGUCUUCUUUUGAGCCCUCCAAACUCUUCCAACCUCUGUCCAUUACCUAGUUCCAAAGCUGCUUCCACAUUUUCAGGUAUCUUUAUAGCAAUGCUCCAGUCCUCAUUUGCCAUUUUCUGUAUGAUUCAUUAUGAAAAAGAGGUUUAAUUGGCUCAUGGUUCUGCAGGGUGGACAGGAAGCACAGGGCUUCUGCUUCUGGUAGGCCUCAGAAAUCUUUCAAUCUUUGUGCAAGGCAAAGAAAGAGUGAGUUGUCUCACACGGCAAGAGGAAAACAUGCAGAGUAGGGAGGUGACAUAGAGUUUUCAAUGACCAGGUCUCAUGAGAAGUCACUCAGGCUUUAUCCAGCCAGCUUCUUUGAGACUCUUCACAGGGUUUGAGGUCUACAGCAUAUACAUGAAAAUAUUCAUACUUCAAAAAGCAAUAAAGUAAGUGGUAUCAUUCUUCCAAAAGUUACAAUGGUAGUGUAGGAAUUCAUAGCAUGGUUUAGGUCAUGUUUGCUACUGUUUCUAUUCUAUCGCCAUAUUAACUGUUUCCUACACAAUUCUAUAUUCAGCUGAGUUUCAAUUGAGAACAAAGCCAUCCUUGUACUACCGCCAAUACCUGGCACUAGCUCUUUGCUAGUGUUAUUAUUCUGCUGUAGAAAGCAUCCUUGAACUGGAAACAGUGCACAAUCGAGUAUCUAGUCAUUCAACACUAUCAAUUCCUGGGUGACCUUUUGAAAAAAUAGUAUCUCUUGUUGCAAGAAAUCCUGCAUCUGUGAGUCCAUGUUUCUCACCGGAAUUGGAUGGAAGUGGUGAAUUUCAGCCACAGUGUCCAAAGAAAUCCUGUUCCUGUGAUUCUGACAUCAUCAGCCUCUGCACCUCUGUCUUCCCUUCUGCCACAUGUUGCCUGCUCUCCAUGACUUUGGUAAGAGCUUCCUUGUGUAUGUGGAUGAUGUCCGGGAUGUUGACCUGGUGUCCCUGAGACAGCACUAACAGGUCCAUGACUGGGUCCAGUUCCUGGAUGGGCUGAUUGGCAGAGCUCACCAACGGUGUUGAAGGCAUCUCUGGUGAAGUGAUGGCCUGGCCCAGCUCCAAGACCUGGCUGAGGCUGAAGAACUGGCCACCUUCUGAUGCUCCUUCUUAAAACCCAUCACCAUAAUCUGCUUGCAUGUCAACUCAUUGGCUGAGAAGUUGAGCUGAGUGCCCUGUGUUUCUAUCUUCUUGGUGAAGCACUCGAAGCCAUCAAUUUUGCUCUCCCACUCUUAAAGGUUGAGGGCCACCUUGGGGGUGGGCUCAGGGUCAGGAAGAAGCUGGAAUUCACCACCUCAUCCUUCUCAGCCUUCCUCUUGCCCUGUCUCCAGGCUGUCUCUUCAGUGCUGGUGUGACACAUCAGGAAGUGAUGGAAGAUGUGGCACUGUGCCUGCACCCAAAAGCUGGCUGUGUGGUUCAUCUACCAGAUUGGGCCCUUUCUGCACUUGAACACGGAGUCCUUCUCAAGAUGGCCUGUGGUCUGCCUCUUGGCACCCAAGAAGCCCACAGUUCUGUAGGAGCCCUCAUGCAUGGACUGGAGCCCCAAAGGCAGUGCACACCCUGCUCCUGAGCCUGCUGCUCAUUUCCUCUAUGUGGCUCCAUCUGCAGCACAGUGGUUGCAUUGAGGCCUGUGCAUGCCAGGCAAGGCUGAGUUCCCUGGGUGGUAAUGCUGACUGCUGCUGGGGGGCCCAUAGUGCCCCUCCCCUCCCAGGGCCCAGGAUGAGGCCUGACUGGGCCAGGACCCUUUAGGUAUGGAUCUCAUUCCCAAGCAGGGGGCCUCUGUCCCACAGGUUGGAUGAGAAGAUGCUGCUGGCUGCCAGGGUUGUUCAGAUGCCACGUUCACCCUUCCCUCCAGGGACAUCAAAGUUUCCAGCUUCCCCUUUGAGAAUGACUUCCCAAGGCCCAGGUGCCAUCUGGGGCUGCAGGGCAGCUGGCUGCAUGCUGCCCUGGCUUCUUCCAUGUUGGGCUGGUCACUACCCACCAAGGGGGGUCAGAUGCAGGCACCAAGUAGGGCGGUUGUCUCUGGACCUGCAUCUUGGUUAUCAUGGAGCCAGACUGGGCCUGGUGACAGGGCCAUGAUGGGGUUGUCCUGGUGGUCCUGGGGGUGUCCAGAGGAGAUGCAGAAUGGAAUUGCUGCAAGGAUGAAUGAGAUGACUGUCAGCACAGAACAGGCACCCGGUGAGUGCUCAGGUAUUACCCUCAGUAGCUGCCCAGAGGCCAAAACCACCCACUUGAUAGUGACUGUCCCCAAGCCAGGA